This is an unclassified non-coding RNA of Chelonoidis abingdonii (Abingdon island giant tortoise), 172 nucleotides long. The record is from Ensembl. Lineage: Eukaryota; Metazoa; Chordata; Testudines; Testudinidae.
UUCAGAGCCCUGGAAACUGAAGUCCUGUAUUUAUCAACAGAACAUGCACAGCAUUCAGAGAGCACUAGCAGUUCAAGAUUUCUUAGCCUGUUCUACCAAUGUGCCUCAUCUAGAAGGAACAGCACUAGCAGUUAGAUGUUCAGUCUCUAUGCCCAAUUAACCACUGGUUUCC